Molecule: ribosomal RNA, 397 nt
Filed under: uncultured bacterium
Lineage: Bacteria
Description: bacterial SSU rRNA
Rfam family: Bacterial small subunit ribosomal RNA
Source: RNAcentral
AUUAAACGCUGGCGGCAUGCCUUACACAUGCAAGUCGAACGGCAGCACGGGGGCAACCCUGGUGGCGAGUGGCGAACGGGUGAGUAAAGCAUCGGGAACGUGCCCUGGAGUGGGGGAUAACGUAGCGAAAGUUACGCUAAUACCGCAUAUUCUGUGAGCAGGAAAGCAGGGGAUCGCAAGACCUUGCGCUCUGGGAGCGGCCGAUGUCGGAUUAGCUAGUUGGUGGGGUAAAGGCUACCAAGGCGACGAUCCGUAGCGGGUCUGAGAGGAUGAUCCGCCACACUGGGACUGAGACACGGCCCAGACUCCUACGGGAGGCAGCAGUGGGGAAUUUUGGACAAUGGGCGAAAGCCUGAUCCAGCCAUGCCGCGUGAGUGAAGAAGGCCUGGUGUAAGAC